UCAAGUGCAGAAAGGGCCCAAUCUGGU
This 27-nucleotide non-coding RNA is filed under the name Homo sapiens (human). Lineage: Eukaryota; Metazoa; Chordata; Mammalia; Primates; Hominidae. The record is from RNAcentral.